This 282-nucleotide unclassified non-coding RNA is filed under the name uncultured fungus. Its description in RNAcentral is "partial contains 5.8S ribosomal RNA, internal transcribed spacer 2, and large subunit ribosomal RNA". The stretch from base 1 to 52 matches the Rfam family "5.8S ribosomal RNA", at positions 103 to 154 of the family's 154-position model. The record is from RNAcentral. Lineage: Eukaryota; Fungi.
AACGCACCUUGCGCCUUUUGGUAUUCCGAAAGGCAUGCCUGUUUGAGUGUCAUGAAAUCUCAAUCCCCUCGGGUUUCUGAUCUGGGGUGGACUUGGACUUGGGUGUCUGCCAGUCACUCGACUGGCUCACCUCAAAAGACUUAGUGGGAUUAGCAUCCACGGCCCGACGUAAUAAGUUUCGUCUGGCUAGGUGCAAGGCCUGCUCAUAACCCCUCGCCCUCCUGGGCGUUAACACUCUUUGACUCUGACCUCAAAUCAGGUAGGGCUACCCGCUGAACUUAA